RNAcentral lists this ribosomal RNA (253 nucleotides) under uncultured bacterium. RNAcentral's name for it is "partial 16S ribosomal RNA". It matches the Rfam family "Bacterial small subunit ribosomal RNA", at positions 524 to 776 of the family's 1533-position model. The record is from RNAcentral.
UACGGAGGGGGCAAGCGUUGUUCGGAAUUAUUGGGCGUAAAGCGUAUGUAGGCGGCUAAGCAAGUCAGGCGUGCAAGCCCGUGGCUCAACCACGGAAUUGCGUUUGAAACUGCUUAGCUUGAGUACAGGAGAGGAAAGCGGAAUUCCCAGUGUAGCGGUGAAAUGCAUUGAUAUUGGGAAGAACAUCUGUGGCGAAGGCGGCUUUCUGGUCUGUUACUGACGCUGAGAUACGAAAGCCAGGGGAGCGAACGGG